This 1482-nucleotide long non-coding RNA is filed under the name Macaca fascicularis (crab-eating macaque). RNAcentral's name for it is "lncRNA (ENSMFAG00000049865.1)". The record is from RNAcentral. Lineage: Eukaryota; Metazoa; Chordata; Mammalia; Primates; Cercopithecidae.
CCUCGUGUAAAUUACUGAAGUUCUCUAAACGACUGUUCGGUCCACGAAAUGGGGAUAAUAAUGGUACUGACCUCACAGGAUGGCCAGAAUGUUUAAAAUCAUGCAUCUGAAAGUCCUUAACACAUCACAUACGCAUAGUAGGUGGUCUUGCUUUUAACGAAGCCUGAGUUCAUCAUUAGCACUCAGGCUGCCUCGAAAGAUUCCUCUUUGAUUGUCAGGGAAGGGAGGUGGCGUUUUAGGCAGCUCUGGCAACGCUGCUCACAGACUUACCAAGAAAGGGGGAGGAUCUAUGGAAGGAAAUGAAUUUCACCAUCCUUACUGCAACUCUUGUAUAAGAUACAAAUCAAUUAAUUCAUCACAUUCUUAUCCCAUUCAGCAUCUUGCCAUCACGAGGCCCCUGCCCAGCUCCUCGGAAUUCCUCCUCUAAUUCAGCUGUGGCUUCUCUAGUUGGCCGGCGCCCAGCCCUCGCCCUGGUGAAGUUCGAGAGCUACAUAAGCUGUCUUGCCUUGGAUGUUCUUCUGAGAGUUUGGAAGGAACUCUAAUUCAGUUUCUGACAAGUUAUUGGCAAAAGGAGAGGAAGCGCUUGCCAAUUUGCUUCAGGCACCGAGCAUGUUAACAGGUAUUACACCAGGUGUUAUUAAUAUAUUACUUACAACAAACCCAGGUUUCAACCUAUUGUUUGGGUUAUACAGAGUUAUGAAUUUUAUACUUUACAAAGUACUGUAUUUUUUCUAAUCGAGAAAACUUGGAAUGUGUGUUGAAGAAUUCAGUCCUCAGUGUGAGAUGUAUUUAUUACAAAUGAGUCUUAUUUCAGAAUCAGUUUGUGGGUUAAAUGACCAAUACCAUUUCUUCAAAUCGAUCACUUGCUAAAGCCGAAGACUGGGACAGGUGUCACUCCCAGGGCUCAGCCAGCCAAGCUCGCAGGAAUGAGGUCAGUGCCCUGAUGAAAUGGCUUCCUUUUUCCUCUAAGGAAAGUUGACAACUUUCUCUCAAAGAAAUUUCAGAGCUGGAAGGAAUAGCUUUGGAUGCUCUACACUUGGGGGCUUAGAAAAUGAAUAUCUAAGACGCAGUAGUCCUAAAACUCCCACUGUUCUUAGCAAGCACAGGGACUGUCUAUAAUCUCAUUGAUGAUGCAUAGCUAUCCAGCCUAAAACAAAGCGCACAUUGCAAGUCAGAGAACAGGCAGGAAGGAAACGCUUCCGCUCAGCAAAUUCCUAGAAGGGGAGAAUAUCUCCCUUAGGAAAAUGGCCCUUUGACACGUUCCACACUGUGUACCUCGCACCCAUGACUGCUUUAGCACUUUACCAGGCAUCAGACCUACCAGCCGGAAUACCACAAGCAGAAGCCAAAUCAAAUGAAACAAGGCCUCUGUCCAGCUCUAUGGCCCUCCAGGCCCAGGCCCAGCAAUUGGCUAACAGAGAGCCAUGUGUGCUACUGAGCUCUUUCCAGACAACGUGAUUUCUGAAGAAAUGCUGCUCACUU